Molecule: long non-coding RNA, 1226 nt
Organism: Acomys russatus (golden spiny mouse)
Lineage: Eukaryota; Metazoa; Chordata; Mammalia; Rodentia; Muridae
Exons: 3
Source: RefSeq, a predicted model, not a curated record
UGUACAUCAGGCAGUGUGUGGGAACGGAGCUAUGACUAAUGGCUGCUUUACAUAUAAAUGAGAAGGUUUGUGCUAGGAACUGUAAAAAAAUACAAUCACUCAGCUGACGGCAGGCUUCUUAUCGCGGAUGCAGGAGAGGGACCACCAGAAAGCUGAGACAGGCUGUCUAGACAUUGCAGAUGUGGACAGAUGUUGGGUCUGUAAUUUAUAACAACGGCCUCCAGAAGGCAAUUCCAAUUUGUUUCGGUAAGGCUUUGAGUUACAGGCAGAAAAAAUAUCCUGUAAAUACCGUUGACUUACAUGGUAACUACACCAAGGGUUUUACUUAGUGAACAGUCGCUAGCUGUAGCACAAUUACACAUCACUGCAGAUUACUGGAGAAUUUAGUGUCACUGAGCAGGCAACGGCCACCAAACCAAAGUCCUGGCUUUGGGAAGGGGUGGAAAACAAGGGCACUAAGCCAUGAUAAGUAGGAAUUCAUGUAUAUUUCCUCAAACUAUCAAUUAUCCUCUAUUCUGAGGAUUCAGUUUUAUCUAUGUCAUAAUUAACCCCAACUAGCAUACCAAACUCCAGGCAAGGGUAUGCUGGUUAUAGUUUUCAACUGAUAAAGGCUUAGGCCAUGUGGUAUCUGGGGGUACUCACAAAACCCUCAGACAAGCAUGAGGCUAGUGAUUAACUUCCCCAUUACUGUAAUGGGCUACAUAUUCAACAGCAGGGCUGAAGGGCACAGAGCCAUCUUCACUUUGUCCUGGUGACCGAUGAUUCAACAGCUGUCCAGGCUAACAAUGAAGCUGACUGGACCACCCGCGUUGUGAAGUCUGUUCUGGUCAUACCAAUGGGAAAUGGAAAGUACUAGGAACUGGAGCCUGGACCUCGAGCAUACUAGUCAAGAGCUCUACCGCUGAAUUACGCCCCCAGCGCCUCGUGUGGGCAGAGGGAUCCCGGAGGACAGCCUGGAGGAAGAAGUCACCGUUUGCUACAGAGAGGACAAAUGGCUCAGAAUGACAACGCCGGGGCCACAUCUUUCUGUUCUUAGGUACAAGUGCACGCUGCACACGGGGAAUGUGUGAGUGUGUACACACCAGCACAUCCUGUAACAGAGCUCAGACCCCUCCAUUGGUUCCCAACCCGCAGCUGCUCCCAGAGCAGACUGUGAUUUGUAGUGCAGGCCACCCAGGGACUUUAAUCUUCACCGUGACAAAUGCAAUAAAAGGAACACUUUGGAG